GGAAAUUCAAUGAGAAACAAUAUUCAGGUCAGGGCAAAGCCUAGAGAAAAACACUCAUUCAGAAGUGGGCUGCCAUCCUGCUUUUUCUGAAGUGAGCAGCUGCUGGGUAUUGAAACCAGCUCUCACAGUUGGGUCCCUGCCACCAUGGAAACACUCUGGCUUCUAUGCUGGGGUGGCCAAGGCACAAUGGGGUGGUUCCAUGGCCCAGAAGCACUCUGGCUAUAGAUUAGAACAGUGUUGGCAUGAGCAACACAGACCCAUGUGCAGUUCCUGACUCCAUCUCGGAAUGCCAAGAACUACAGCAAAAUCUUGUCCAGAUGUGAUUCUACCAUGCCAUCAGCCCUGAAGACAUAACUCCAGAAUUACAGAUUUUGCCUAUUUAUCCAAAAUGUAAGUAAAGGUGGAUAAUCUUUUCAGUUUAUUGGUUACAAAUGACCAGCUGACAAGUUACUCAACUUCUGCAAUUGUGGUGAAAUUCUAGAGCUACCAAGACAGGGUCACUUGUCCAAGAACAUCUAAGGGAUUGAUUGGCUCUUCAGAACCCGUGCCAACUUCCUUUCUGCAGGCGGGCUAAAUAGUGGAUACCUUUUAGAGAAGGGAAGCCAUCAUCUUAGGAAAAAACCUCUCUCUGCUGUGAACAAGCUGAGUGCAAUCACAGAAACUGCAGACAAAAGAGCUUUUGAUGACAGAUACUUCUGAUGCCUGGUGUCUUCAAAGGCAUUCCAGGAAAGGUGAAGGAAUAAUUAUGAUUAACAAUAACUCAUAUUUCUUCCAGGAUGCUACUUAUUGAACCAAUGGAACACUUGAGAAAUAUGUCAGUGAGUCAGCUUCACCCCCAAGCUCUUUGCAUUGAACUGAAUAAAUCCAAAUGAAUACAUUCUGGGAGAGAAGUAAAGACAGUAGAAUG
Molecule: long non-coding RNA, 907 nt
Filed under: Callithrix jacchus (white-tufted-ear marmoset)
Lineage: Eukaryota; Metazoa; Chordata; Mammalia; Primates; Cebidae
Description: lncRNA (ENSCJAG00000077942.1)
Source: RNAcentral